The submitters of this non-coding RNA (60 nucleotides) gave its source as unclassified sequences. The record is from Rfam.
CGUUAGGAGAAUGUCACUGUCAUUACCCACUACGAGUGGAUAUGGGAAUACAUUUGUGGA